ACUCAAAGGAAUAGACGGGGACCCGCACAAGCGGUGGAGCAUGUGGUUUAAUUCGACGCAACGCGAAGAACCUUACCAGGGCUUGACAUCCCUCGCAAUCCAUAGAAAUAUGGAGUUUUAUCUUACGGGAUAGACGAGGAGACAGGUGGUGCAUGGUUGUCGUCAGCUCGUGUCGUGAGAUGUUGGGUUAAGUCCCGCAACGAGCGCAACCCCUACUUUUAGUUGCCAGCAUUAGGUUGGGCACUCUAAAGGAACUGCCGGUGACAAACCGGAGGAAGGUGGGGAUGACGUCAAAUCAUCAUGCCCUUUAUGUUCUGGGCUACACACGUGCUACAAUGGCCGGUACAGAGGGCAGCGAAGGAGCGAUCCGGAGCGAAUCCCAAAAAGCCGGUCUCAGUUCGGAUUGCAGGCUGCAACUCGCCUGCAUGAAGUCGGAAUCGCUAGUAAUCGCGAGUCAGCAUAUCGCGGUGAAUACGUUCCCGGGUCUUGUACACACCGCCCGU
This 503-nucleotide ribosomal RNA is filed under the name uncultured bacterium. Its description in RNAcentral is "bacterial SSU rRNA". It matches the Rfam family "Bacterial small subunit ribosomal RNA", at positions 899 to 1397 of the family's 1533-position model. The record is from RNAcentral.